CGAGGGGGGGCAAAUGUUGUUCGGAAUCACUGGGCGUAAAGGGAGCGUAGGCGGGCUUCUAAGUUAGGUGUUUAAUCCCAGGGCCCAACCCUGGUCAGGCACCUAAAACUGGGAGUCUUGAAUAGUGGAGAGGUCAGUGGAAUUGGGGGUGUAGCGGUGGAAUGCGUAGAGAUCCCCAAGAACACCAGUUGCGAAGGCGGCUGACUGGACACAUAUUGACGCUGAGGCUCGAAAGCAUGGGGAGCAAACAGGAUUAGAUACCCUGGUAGUCCAUGCUAUAAACGAUGAAUACUAGGUUUUAGGUCCCGUCAACGGUCUAGAGCCGCAGCUAACGCGUUAAGUAUUCCGCCUGGGGAGUACGCUCGCAAGAGUG
Molecule: ribosomal RNA, 373 nt
Filed under: uncultured organism
Description: bacterial SSU rRNA
Rfam family: Bacterial small subunit ribosomal RNA
Source: RNAcentral